GGUCCCUUGGCCAAGUCGGUUACGGCGUGGUGCUAAUAAAACGCCAAGAUCAGCGGUUCGAUCCCGCUAGGGACCA
Non-coding RNA from Metschnikowia aff. pulcherrima, 76 nucleotides. NCBI's taxonomy places the organism in Eukaryota, Fungi, Ascomycota, Pichiomycetes, Serinales, Metschnikowiaceae. The record is from the annotation of a GenBank genome assembly.